UGGGGAAUUUUGCGCAAUGGGGGGAACCCUGACGCAGCAACGCCGCGUGAGUGAUGAAGGCCUUCGGGUCGUAAAGCUCUGUCAGAGGGGAAGAAAUGCGGGGUGGCUAAUAUCCACCUUGCUUGACGGUACCCUCAAAGGAAGCACCGGCUAACUCCGUGCCAGCAGCCGCGGUAAUACGGAGGGUGCGAGCGUUGUUCGGAAUUAUUGGGCGUAAAGCGCGUGUAGGCGGUCUUUUAAGUCUGAUGUGAAAGCCCUGGGCUCAACCUGGGAAGUGCAUUGGGAACUGGAAGACUUGAAUACGGGAGAGGGUAGUGGAAUUCCUAGUGUAGGAGUGAAAUCCGUAGAUAUUAGGAGGAACACCGGUGGCGAAGGCGGCUACCUGGACCGAUAUUGACGCUGAGACGCGAAAGCGUGGGGAGCAAACAGGA
Molecule: ribosomal RNA, 431 nt
Filed under: uncultured bacterium
Lineage: Bacteria
Description: bacterial SSU rRNA
Rfam family: Bacterial small subunit ribosomal RNA
Source: RNAcentral